UCAGGAUGAACGCUAGCUACAGGCUUAACACAUGCAAGUCGAGGGGCAGCAUGGUCUUAGCUUGCUAAGGCCGAUGGCGACCGGCGCACGGGUGAGUAACACGUAUCCAACCUGCCGUCUACUCUUGGACAGCCUUCUGAAAGGAAGAUUAAUACAAGAUGGCAUCAUGAGUCCGCAUGUUCACAUGAUUAAAGGUAUUCCGGUAGACGAUGGGGAUGCGUUCCAUUAGAUAGUAGGCGGGGUAACGGCCCACCUAGUCUUCGAUGGAUAGGGGUUCUGAGAGGAAGGUCCCCCACAUUGGAACUGAGACACGGUCCAAACUCCUACGGGAGGCAGCAGUGAGGAAUAUUGGUCAAUGGGCGAGAGCCUGAACCAGCCAAGUAGCGUGAAGGAUGACUGCCCUAUGGGUUGUAAACUUCUUUUAUAAAGGAAUAAAGUCGGGUAUGGAUACCCGUUUGCAUGUACUUUAUGAAUAAGGAUCGGCUAACUCCGUGCCAGCAGCCGCGGUAAUACGGAGGAUCCGAGCGUUAUCCGGAUUUAUUGGGUUUAAAGGGAGCGUAGAUGGAUGUUUAAGUCAGUUGUGAAAGUUUGCGGCUCAACCGUAAAAUUGCAGUUGAUACUGGAUAUCUUGAGUGCAGUUGAGGCAGGCGGAAUUCGUGGUGUAGCGGUGAAAUGCUUAGAUAUCACGAAGAACUCCGAUUGCGAAGGCAGCCUGCUAAGCUGCAACUGACGUUGAGGCUCGAAAGUGUGGGUAUCAAACAGGAUUAGAUACCCUGGUAGUCCACACGGUAAACGAUGAAUACUCGCUGUUUGCGAUAUACUGCAAGCGGCCAAGCGAAAGCGUUAAGUAUUCCACCUGGGGAGUACGCCGGCAACGGUGAAACUCAAAGGAAUUGACGGGGGCCCGCACAAGCGGAGGAACAUGUGGUUUAAUUCGAUGAUACGCGAGGAACCUUACCCGGGCUUAAAUUGCAGAUGAAUUACGGUGAAAGCCGUAAGCCGCAAGGCAUCUGUGAAGGUGCUGCAUGGUUGUCGUCAGCUCGUGCCGUGAGGUGUCGGCUUAAGUGCCAUAACGAGCGCAACCCUUGUUGUCAGUUACUAACAGGUUCCGCUGAGGACUCUGACAAGACUGCCAUCGUAAGAUGUGAGGAAGGUGGGGAUGACGUCAAAUCAGCACGGCCCUUACGUCCGGGGCUACACACGUGUUACAAUGGGGGGUACAGAGGGCCGCUACCACGCGAGUGGAUGCCAAUCCCCAAAACCUCUCUCAGUUCGGACUGGAGUCUGCAACCCGACUCCACGAAGCUGGAUUCGCUAGUAAUCGCGCAUCAGCCACGGCGCGGUGAAUACGUUCCCGGGCCUUGUACACACCGCCCGUCAAGCCAUGGGAGCCGGGGGUACCUGAAGUGCGUAACCGCGAGGAGCGCCCUAGGGUA
This 1436-nucleotide ribosomal RNA is filed under the name uncultured bacterium. RNAcentral describes it as "bacterial SSU rRNA". It matches the Rfam family "Bacterial small subunit ribosomal RNA". The record is from RNAcentral.